AUAGGCUCAGGCACUGUGCUGGCUGGGAUCUGCAUUCUGUCCCUGCUUCCACAAGGAAUAUGAGGAAGACUGAGCAGCACCAUCACAGCCUGUUUCUCUUCAGCAUAAGAAUCUUCACAUUAAGAUCCAGCCCUUUCUAUUCACCCUCUUAA
This 152-nucleotide long non-coding RNA is filed under the name Junco hyemalis (dark-eyed junco). RNAcentral describes it as "lncRNA (ENSJHYG00000000912.1)". The record is from RNAcentral. Lineage: Eukaryota; Metazoa; Chordata; Aves; Passeriformes; Passerellidae.